GAGUUUGAUCGUGGCUCAGAGUGAACGCUGGCGGCAGGCCUAACACAUGCAAGUCGAACGGCAGCACGGCAGUAGCAAUACUGUGGGUGGCGAGUGGCGGACGGGUGAGGAAUACAUGGGAAUCUACCCUGUCGUGGGGGAUAACGUAGGGAAACUUACGCUAAUACCGCAUACGACCGAGAGGUGAAAGCGGCGGACCGCAAGGCGUCGCGCGACUGGAUGAGCCCAUGUCGGAUUAGCUAGUUGGCGGGGUAAAGGCCCACCAAGGCGACGAUCCGUAGCUGGUCUGAGAGGAUGAUCAGCCACACUGGAACUGAGACACGGUCCAGACUCCUACGGGAGGCAGCAGUGGGGAAUAUUGGACAAUGGGCGCAAGCCUGAUCCAGCCAUGCCGCGUGAGUGAAGAAGGCCUUC
Molecule: ribosomal RNA, 414 nt
Filed under: uncultured Gammaproteobacteria bacterium
Lineage: Bacteria; Pseudomonadati; Pseudomonadota; Gammaproteobacteria
Description: bacterial SSU rRNA
Rfam family: Bacterial small subunit ribosomal RNA
Source: RNAcentral